CGUGUAGGCGGCUCGUGAAGUCAGGAGUGAAAGCCCGGGGCUCAACCCCGGGACUGCUUUUGUAAACCAGCGGGCUUGAGUACAGGAGAGGGAAGUGGAAUUCCCAGUGUAGCGGUGAAAUGCGUAGAUAUUGGGAGGAACACCAGUGGCGAAAGCGGCUUCCUGGCCUGUAACUGACGCUGAGGCGCGAAAGCGUGGGGAGCAAACAGGAUUAGAUACCCUGGUAGUCCACGCCGUAAACGAUGGGUGCUAAGUGUUGGGGGUAUCGACCCCCUCAGUGCUGUAGUUAACGCAAUAAGCACCCCGCCUGGGGAGUACGUUCGCAAGAAUGAA
This 333-nucleotide ribosomal RNA is filed under the name uncultured bacterium. RNAcentral describes it as "bacterial SSU rRNA". It matches the Rfam family "Bacterial small subunit ribosomal RNA", at positions 568 to 898 of the family's 1533-position model. The record is from RNAcentral.